UGCGAUUGCUUGAGAGGGGAAAAAACCCUCUGUAGCCACAGGCAGACAAGCUCAGUGCUCAGGAACAUAAUGGCUGGAGCCUGCAGGCCCAUAUGCUCGCCAUCCUGCGAGGUGGAAGGCCAGCUCCGAUCAUCUCUAGCUGCUCAGGAUACAAUUGAUCAGGGUCUCCUAAACACUCCAACCUUUCCCAGCCCACUAUCACUUGAUGCAGAAGCACAGACCGCUAAUAGCAUGAGAUGAAUAAGAAACCAAUGCAAUAGGACUCUGGAUGUCUUUGUGAAAUCCCACGUGUGGCUUUAAGAAUAAAUUGUUAUUUUAGUGGUUUGCUUUCAAGUUGUUGUACAAGCACUUCCCACAACCCACUAAGGAAGUAAAAAGCCUCGUUUCAAUUGGUAAAGGACUUUAAGAAUUCAGUGGACCUAACCAAAAUGCCCUUGUCUACCUAUUCCAAUAAAAUAAUCCUGUCCCUGGUCACAGCUACACCCAGCCUGCAAGUUCCCUUACACAAAGCACUCUUGAGAGCUCACAGUGGGAGGUCUAUUCUCACAUCAAAUUAAAGCCAGACAGAAUCAAUUAAAGCAAAAAGGAUGGGGUCUUCCAAAAUGACAGAAGGCAUUUGGGGCAAAUGCUCACAGCUGAAUGCAGAAGAGGUGCCAUUGCUCAAGCUUUCUUGCUCUUCCAUGGAAGCUGGGCACAACAAUACACUUGUCUCCAGAGGACUCCUGGUUGUAAUGUUUUGUGGUGCCUCAUGAUGCUGAAUAGCAAGAAGAGUAAAGUUUGAGACAGAUAGAAAAGGAUAUGAAUGGGACAUCAAAAAUUAUCAGAGGAAGGACUUUUAGACUCUCCCUUCUAUUACUCAGAGGUGACUUAUUCCAGUGCAGGCCCUGAGAUAAGAAUACUGAAUACACAAAAAAUCCCCACCAAACUCACAGAUGGAUUUCAUUCCUAUGUAGGACUCAUUCUCCACAAGAUCUCUGUAUUCAUGCUUACUUCUAUAGCCCCCCAUAAAUUCUAUCUGAUGACCCAAGGCCAUUCCCCUGGGCUUCCCUGAAGCCAGCCCUGACUGCAGAGGCUAUGGCAGAGCACUUCAGCCAACACACCAACAGUUGCUGGCUUUGUAACUCUAACUCUCUCCAGGCCAUACCCUUCUCUUCCUCAUCUGGCGUGUUCAGCCUACAAGUUGUCCAACUUUUUACCUGCAAGGGAGAUCAGGGAUCAGCUGGGUGCUGAACAUCUCUCAGUUUGGGGCACCUUCAGUCAAUUCCAGCUCUCUCCACCCCCAAGAAAGUUAUUAGUUGGAACAGGAAAAGAACAAGAGAAAUAAAUUCUCUUUAGAGAGAUGAUGACACAGGCACCAGUUAGUGAAGGAAGAUUUUUUGGUGCUGUUUCCUUCCCUCUUCACUGUAAAUUCUCCAGCGUUCUAGUAACAACACCCUAAUUCCCAGACAUCCAGGGGAGGCAAGUGCCUCUACAAGAUCCUGAGAUCCCCAGCUUCCAUUGACAGCAAGUGAGCAGCAUUAGCUCUUCUGAGUUUGCCUUGCUGGGCUGAUUUGUGGUGUGAACACACACUAAUUAGCCAAUUAACUUAGGAACUAAGACUCCCAAGAGAAAAAGAUUUCAGAGGGGAAUUCAGAGCCCUUCAGAUUGAAAUUAUCAUCAAGUGCCUAAUGUAACUGUUCUGCUUCUCCUUUUCAAGACUUCUUUUCCUCCAUCUGACUAUUAAAAUAGGCAGUGUGAAUGCUUCCACAACUUUGCCAAAAGUGGGUGGUGUAUCCUUUCUUGAAAUCACGUGGGUAAAUUCACAACACAUUUUUGUCUUCUGGAUUUGGGUAGGGAAAAGGAAGGCGUCUGUUCAAGAGACAAGCAACAAGAGAUACUUCAUGCCUCUUACACAAUGGUUGGCAACUCACAGAAUAUGGUUAAAAACUCUAAGCCUACCAGCAUGUAAAGCAAUUCUUAAAGAUGAAAGAUGCUCUGAACACUAGACUUGAAAUGGAUUGACUUUUAAAUAUGAUCAAAUCUUAGUUUAUAUCUCAUCCAAGCAACAAAUCUGAGUCCGCAUUUUAAAACAAGUCUUAUGUUACCUGAACAUUCACAAUUAUUAAAAAGCCUCUUCAAACAACCCCUAUGGAGUGCUAUUGUUGGCCUCUUGACCUCUUUGCUUAUGUACAUCCAGAGACUGAAAAGGCUGUAUUUAUGAUAUUACCAAUUCCAGCACUGCCAGGCCAACCAACCUGAACUUAGCACAAUACUUUCCCUAGACUGUUCCUUUCCUGACAGAAAAGACAAGAGACUGACUUUGUGCAUGGUUUGGAAAGCUUCCAACUAGUUUAGCAGGGCUCUGCUAAAUAUAGAUAUAUAUUAGAUAUACAGAGACAUAAAUACAGAUAUAGACUGUGCAAUUUUUGGCUUUACAUAAGAUAAUAGCCCAACUUACUGACUGUAAAAUGAAACUGGGAAGGCUACUGUACUGGAGGAAGCGCUGGCCUAGGGUUUGAGAGACUUGCAGCAGGAUUCAGAUCACCUGAUCAGGUACCUAAAGCAUGACUUUGUUCAAACACCCAGAAUAUCCACUCUCAAGUAUUUCCUAUUUCAGAAGGACCCAGAUCUCAUAAACACCUAUUUCAGCAUGAAAUACCCUCCCAUGCAGCUGUGUAGAAGCCCUUCUGGAUAUGCAAAUUACAGACAUAAUCCCUUUUUCUGCUGCAGUGCAGAUCCAGACAGCCAUCCACAGUUCCUGAGCAGCUAAAGUGCUCUUACAAGAUUCCCAGCUCAGCAGAGGACCACACCAUGAUGCUUAUGGAUGCAUCCAGCUCUCAGUUAAUUCUACAAUCUGCCUGGGCACCUACAUGCCAUUUUCUUUGGACAAGCAUCUACAUCAGGUGCUGCAACCCCUUAGGCAGGCAUGUAAACUAGGUAUUACAGUAUGAGACUGGACUUCCAAUCCUGAAUUUGAAGCUGUCCUGCAAGAUGAUUUUGAAGACACUUCAUCUCUGAGUGCCUCUCUUUAAAAUGCUAAGAAAGGUAACAUUCACAGCGCAUUGGAAGACAGCAAUUAUUUCUGGGUGCUUGUGAAUAAAAAGUGCUUUACUGAAGACACUAAGCGACUCAAUAAAUGAACUGCUAAAUGAAUCUGAAGACCUACUGCAUAAUUUGGCUAAGUUAUAUGAUAGAAUUAGAAGGUAAAACGAAGCAGAUGUCUUGGUCGCUGUUGUGACUCCACAGAAAUAAAUUCUUGUUACCAGUAAACAAUAACAAGAGAACCUGUCUUUAGUCUGCCACAAAACAAACAAACAAAGAAACAAAACCCUGUUAAAAUCUUUUGGAUGUUGUUUCAAGCAAUGUGUGAAAAACCUGCCUUGGUGACAGCUCUCCCCAUCUCUGGAGCCAAGCUUUGCAGACAGCCAGUAUCAUGUGCGUCCACAUAUGACGGAUCUUACUUGGGCGUGAAAUUUUCAUUAGUUCUUGAGCAGUGCACAGAUGCAGGGUUUGACCAAUCUAAUGAGCUAACACAUACCACUGCCCAGCUGGUUAUAGCUGCAAAAAAAGCCAAGAAGGGAAUCUGGUUGAUCCUGUAUAUUUUGUAUAUUUUUUCAUCCUACGCUACAACAGCAUUACCAUAUCUUUUUUCCAGUUCUUUUAGAACAGAGAAGAGAAUGCUGCAGGCCAGUAACUUGAGAAGAUCUUUGUUUCCCUCUAUAAUUUCUCUAGACACAAUAAAAAUGAUUUCAUCAGUGAGAA
This is a long non-coding RNA of Centrocercus urophasianus (Greater sage-grouse), 3741 nucleotides long. RefSeq lists it as uncharacterized. The record is from RefSeq and is a predicted model, not a curated record. NCBI's taxonomy places the organism in Eukaryota, Metazoa, Chordata, Aves, Galliformes, Phasianidae. The transcript has 3 exons.